UACACCGGCAUCAUGCCCCCCUCGCGCGCCGCCCAUUCACCUUCACCGUGCGGCAGCAGCCCUUCCCCGAAGCGCUACCCUCCGCCAGUAGCUCCGCCCACCGUCGAAUCCCUUUCUCGUCCAUCGGCAACCUCGGUAGUUGGAGCACGCCGGCGUCGGUCGUCCUCACCGUCGCCAUGUCGAGCUCCUCCCGGCGUUGUCCUCACCGUCACCUAGCUGCAUCCAUGUUGGUGUCAUCCGCCACCCGAAGAUCUACUGCGUGUUCCGUCGAUGCACCGCCCAGCAAGCAUCUUCAGUCUCCGGCACGUCAAGCAGGCACCGAACCAUCACUGGCCCUCGUGCGUUCGUACGUGCAGCUCCAAGUCGUCCUGCGACCGUCCUCCUCUGUCUGCUAGUGCUACGCAGUACACACUCUUUUUAUUUGUGCAUUCAUGUUCAGAUCAUCACAGUACAUAAUUGAUUGAUUUUUUAUCUGUCAAACAGUGUUGGCCUGCUAAUAACCAGUAACUAGUACUGAACUAUGAACUUUUCAUCUUGUAAAGUGGUAAUGUUCAGUGCCAAUGGGAGGGAAGUUGUUCGCUUCUGUUAACUUAUUAUUCGGUUGUAUAUUAGCUACUACUCCCUCCGUUCCUAAAUACAAGUCUUUUUAGAGAUUUCAAUAUAGACUACAUACGGAUGCAUAUAGACACAUUUUAGAGUGUAGGUUCAUUCAUUUUUCUCCUUAUGUGGUCCAUAUUAGAAUCUCUAAAAAGACUUAUGUGUAGGAACGGAGGGAGUAGUAAUUAUUGUGCACUGCUUGUUUUUUUUUAUGUAGAAAUGCAGAUAAGAGACAAUAAGUAAAAUUCAAUCUCCCCCAGGAAUCAAUUUCUCCUUUUAUUAGAGUUGAUUUCAGCGUCUCAGUGGAUUUUUGGGUGACGACGCGUGUAAUUUUGGGGGAGGAGCAGGGGUAUGCAUUAUGAGUUACACAUUCAUCUUGCGAUUAUGGUGGGUUAGGAUGUUCAUUCUGUUUUUAUUGGCAACAGCUUCAAACGCCUCUUCCCGAAUUUUCUGGACCGCUAUUUUAGGAGUAUAUAACCCCCACCCAUUGGAUGACCAACCCAUGUCACCGCGUACACCACUGUGGCCGCCACUUGACGGCAGGUGGUGGACACCAAUGCAACCACACUGGCGGCUUCCCUUGCCUAGCUACACGUUGCAUCUCUGUUUCAUCUUCGCUAGGUAAUUUGUGUACUUCUGCUCUCUUUUCUCUCUGUAUAAGCAUGUGCUUAUUAGUGAUUAGCACUCACAUCAUAACUAUUACUAGCUUAGAGGACAAUUUUUAUUCUCUAGACUGUUAUUUCUUACAUCUGUAAUAAUAAAACAUGUGGAAGGGGGUUCUUUUCAUUCUUCAUUGUGAUAUCUCAUUGCAGCAAGUUUUAAUUCUACAAGUAGAUGAAUCUUUUUUCUUUCAAAUUCAGAUUUAAUGGUGGGUGUAUAGUACAGAAAAUUGUAUACCUAACUGGUCCUUAAUCUAAGCAGAAUGUUUAUCAGGUAUUGCGUGCAGGUUUGUGGGGAUGACACAUAUUUGGAGGUACAGCUCCUGCUUGCAUGCGCAAAAAGUUCACGAUUUGCAUCUCUAAUAUAACAUGGUAAGUCUUUUUCAUUCUUGAUCUCCCCAUUACGCUAUAUUCCAUUUCAUGAAUGGAAGGAAUUCCGGUUUGAAUUCACAUGAUGUUCAAACACAUAAAUACCUGAUGUGCUGAAUUGCUAACAUACCAAAAAAAUGCUACAGCUUGAUGACUAUGUAGUAAAGUUCAUUCAGACUUAGUUCUGGUGACAUGGGUCUUGGGGAGUAUAUUGGGUUCCAAUACAAUUGAGCAUGAUUUAUUGGCAGUAUACUACAAAACUACAUUAUUCCCAGGUCAAGCAUUACAUUUUGGGCAUAACUUUACGUGCAAUGCAAGUCAGCAAAACAGAUGAGAUUUUUUUUCUUACUCCAGAACCACUUAAUUUUUCUCUACUGAUUUCCCCUUUGGAUCUUUGUAGGAGAUAAUGGCACAUCGAUUUGAUAUUUUUAGCAGUACUAUUUAUAUUUUAUUUUCCAAGAAAUACUCAAAAGUAUUGGUGGUAUGACAGUUGAGUACAUUUGUUGAUAUUUUAUUAUGAGCACAUGCUUUUUCCUAUCUAAUAUUAGGACUACGCAUCGUUGUGAUCCAUGUGAUAUGGGGCUUAAUGAUUUGAGAGUCGUUGUCCCCAAAUUAUUCUAAAAUGGUUGGUGGGUUUUUAUGUAUCCAUCAGCAGCUUUAUUUUUUGUGAACAUAUUUGUCUAACAGUUGAGUACAUUUACCAGCAAUAUAGAAAUGAAAAUUGCUAAUGACCCAUAUGAUUGCUUUCACUAGCGAGCUCAGGUGACAGUUCAAAGAGCAACUUCAAUGUUCUCUAAUAUCUGAUUGACCCACAGAGAAUUUUUAUUGAUAUUCUAGUAGUGCAUACUAAUGUAUUUUCAAUGCAUAUUUUAUAGCUUAGGGUGUGAAAUAUUCAUUUUGUGCAGCUUGCGAUCAUCAACUACUUAACUCUGGUGAAAUUUAUGGUGUUGUGGAACGAUUGAAGUUAGUACAAAGUCGAGACACUUAUAUUGAGAUGGAGGGAUUAUAAGUUUACUUACAGUUGAACUGAACCUCAAAUGUAGAAAGCAGAUGGUGGUCAAGAAUCAAAAAAUGCUCAUGCUUGAAAUAGCAAUGUGACCAAGCAAGGUGGUACUGAAUCAAGUGUAUAACUUCCUGUGUCACUAAGCACAUCAAGAAAAUACAUUUGUAGGCAGUAUGUUUGGCGAAGUAUCUUGGUUUUUUAGGUCAAAAAGCCAAAGCUGACCACUCCAACACAACCUAAGACAUUGGUGCUCCAAGACAACCUCAAGACAUUUCUACGGCUAGCUGAGAGUUUAGAAUUGGAACACAUUGCAGGAGCAAGCAGCAACUACGCAAGAAUUAGUCUUUAAAUAAACAUAUAUUAUGUAUAAUGUAUGGAAAGCUUAGUUCUACUUUGUAGUAUAUAUAUUCUCUUAAUUAUUUACAUCUUUCAUAUGAAUGUCUGAUUUGAUUCAGUUGUGAACUCCAUACACAAACGUAUGUAUUUGUUCAUAGAUUUGUUGCAAAUGAUGCAAAU
Aegilops tauschii subsp. strangulata is the source of this 3144-nucleotide long non-coding RNA. RefSeq lists it as uncharacterized. Lineage: Eukaryota; Viridiplantae; Streptophyta; Magnoliopsida; Poales; Poaceae. The record is from RefSeq and is a predicted model, not a curated record.